Molecule: long non-coding RNA, 297 nt
Organism: Carassius gibelio (silver crucian carp)
Lineage: Eukaryota; Metazoa; Chordata; Actinopteri; Cypriniformes; Cyprinidae
Exons: 3
Source: RefSeq, a predicted model, not a curated record
AGGUUUUGAGUGAAUAACGGAUCUGUGCGUCACUCACGUGAAAGAGGUUCUUCUGUGGAGCACAAAAAGAAGAUAUUUGUUAUUUUAGUGAUGAACAGGUUUGAGCGACAGGAAAGAACAUUAUAAUAUUGGCUUGGACUAACAUGAGGCAAACUGUCCCAUCAUGCAGCAGGAGCGCUCCUGAGGGACUCCAGCUCUGCGGAUAAUGAAGCCUGUCAUCUCCGCUCACCUCCGCGCCGGACACACUUCCAGCUCCAGACGCCUGCUCCAUCGAUUCGCUGCUGUUUUCCAAAGCGG